This 347-nucleotide ribosomal RNA is filed under the name Haemaphysalis flava. RNAcentral describes it as "partial large subunit ribosomal RNA". Lineage: Eukaryota; Metazoa; Arthropoda; Arachnida; Ixodida; Ixodidae. The record is from RNAcentral.
UGUAGUAUUUUGACUAUACAAAGGUAUUGUAAUAAGACUUUAAUUGAGUGCUAAAAGAAUGGAGUUUCAAAAAAAGUCUAUCUUGAAUUCAAAAAUUGAAUUUAUUUUUAUUUGUGAAGAAACAAUAAUUAAAAUUAAGGACAAGAAGACCCUAAGAAUUUUUAAUUUUGUAUAUAUAUAUAUUUAUAUAUACAAAAUUUUAAUUGGGGCGAUUAAAAAAUAUAAUUAACUUUUAAUUUAAAAAAAUGAUCCAUUAUUAAUGAUUUAAUGUAAAAAAUACUCUAGGGAUAACAGCGUAAUAAUUUUAGAUAGAUCUUAUAGAAAAAAUAGUUUGCGACCUCGAUGUU